Non-coding RNA from Cycas panzhihuaensis, 142 nucleotides. The record is from Rfam. NCBI's taxonomy places the organism in Eukaryota, Viridiplantae, Streptophyta, Cycadopsida, Cycadales, Cycadaceae.
GUGAGCCGUGUGAUGGGAAACCUCCCCGCACGGUUCGGAGAGCACUUCAUUCGAAUGGGGUGAACCACCACAUCAUUGCAAGGGUAACAGAGCUCGCUCGAUUCGCAGAUUGGUUUGACCCGGAAUUCACUUUCGACCCUGU